UACGGAGGAUGCAAGCGUUAUCCGGAAUGAUUGGGCGUAAAGCGUCCGCAGGUGGCUGUGUAAGUCUGCUGUUAAAGAGUGAGGCUCAACCUCAUAAAGGCAGUGGAAACUACAUGGCUAGAGUGCGUUCGGGGCAGAGGGAAUUCCUGGUGUAGCGGUGCAAUGCGUAGAGAUCAGGAAGAACACCGGUGGCGAAGGCGCUCUGCUAGGCCGCAACUGACACUGAGGGACGAAAGCUAGGGGAGCGAAUGGG
Molecule: ribosomal RNA, 253 nt
Filed under: uncultured bacterium
Lineage: Bacteria
Description: partial 16S ribosomal RNA
Rfam family: Bacterial small subunit ribosomal RNA
Source: RNAcentral